AAGAUUAUAUUUAAUAUCCACUUUUAAUAAUCUUAAUUCAAUAAAUUGAGCAACACAAAACUCAGGAAUAUUUUUUCCUAUUUAAAAGAAUGUGCUUAAAUAGCAUUCGCUGACAGAUAGCUACUUCAGUAGAUAAAAUAUCCUUUUAAUAUAAUGCCAGACUCUUCACGCCCCACCCCCAACCAACUCUCCAUGAUCCUGUGCAGUAGCUCACCAUCCUCACUUGCUUUGGGCAAAAAUGACUCAUAGUUCAGGUGCUAAGGAAACUGUUCAUUCUAUUGCAUAUAUGUACAUGGAAUUAUUAAUUAAGCCAAGUCUUUGUGCAUGCAUUGGAAACUUAAUUAGCAGAGUGGAUUUUUGAAACAAAUUAUUUCUUCAAAUCACCUAGUCCAUAAUAGUAUUUUUCCCUCUGGGCUACAAUUUGAAGAAUUUUAAUCAUAUCCUUUUCUCAGGCCUCUUUUCAUUAAGCAAACUAUUUAUAUGAAAUACUUGGCAAGCCAGAACAAAUCCCACAUUAUUCUUAGCAAAUCAACAACAACAAAAUCCCUUUAAAUACGUAGUUAAUGUAUCCCAACAUUUGUAAAUCCAAAGUUCGUGCUUGGGGUAUAUGUGUGUGUUUCCAAAUUCAAAGGCCUAAACGUGAUGUGCUUUUCAAUGAAAAAAUUUCAGGUCAGAAAGAAAGUAGGAAGAAACUAGAAACCAUUGGAAGAUGGGAAAAUAUCUUCAAUUUCAAAUUUCUCUUCCCUCUACAGUUUCUUUUUCAUCUAUGAUGUGGUUGAAAGAACGUUGCCAGGAGAGCUUAGACAAAGAGAUGUCCUCCUGUCUCCUCCACUCACUGGACGUGUCCUUGGUUACAUAGAGGAUGUUAUCCAGGUCUGUACUGCCUCAGGUACACCAUAUUAAGAGUUUGAAUAAUACAAUUUCUCAGUGUCUAGAGUUCUAUGAGUCUCAGAUGCUCACUGCUUUCUGCAUUGUGAACAUGAUUUUAUCUAUCAAAAUAGCUUUAUCUCAGAUAAUAAUGCUUUGUACAGAUGAAUAGAGGAGUAGUGUCUAUAAAGAAACUGAAUUGCUCACUUGUUCUCUGCUUCUUGCCUUUGUCUUAUGACUUACAGGUUAAGAAUGGUGUUUGGGCCAUUGCCUCCUUAUGCCUGGUUACCCUUUCCCUCCUGCACACAUAGGAACCAGCCCUUCCUGCCCCCUGACACAUAGGCUGAGUCAGUGAGAAACCUCUUUCCCUGCCCCCUAAAAGGUCCUGUGUUGUGACAAUAAAACCACAAGAUUUUGAAGAAGGCUGCACCUCUGCAACCUCUGCAUUGAACUGCAUGAAGCACAGUCACUCAUCACCAGGCCUACAGUGGGCUGACUCUACAUGAAGAUGCACAUCCAGAGAUUCAUUUUCCUCGCCCCGGGUCUGUGGAGUUAUAAAGAAGGAAGUAAUUAAGCAUCUUGUUGUUGAACGGUCAAGAGGGAAAUGACACUGAAGACAAGGUCUUGCUCUGUUGCCCAUAGCUCACGGCAACCUGGAACACAUGGGCUCAAGCCAUCUUCCUGUCUCAGCUUCUCAAGUAGCUGGAAUUACAGGUAUGUGCCACUCUGCCUGGCUGCAUUAUUAUUUCUCUAUAUAUACUUUUCCAGAAGUAUUCCUACCUAAUACCAGAAAUUAUUCUAUGUACAAUAAGAAAU
Molecule: non-coding RNA, 1683 nt
Organism: Chlorocebus sabaeus (green monkey)
Lineage: Eukaryota; Metazoa; Chordata; Mammalia; Primates; Cercopithecidae
Source: RefSeq, a predicted model, not a curated record